Molecule: transfer RNA, 73 nt
Filed under: Camelus bactrianus (Bactrian camel)
Lineage: Eukaryota; Metazoa; Chordata; Mammalia; Artiodactyla; Camelidae
Also listed under: 1 other name
Rfam family: tRNA
About the family: Transfer RNA (tRNA) molecules are approximately 80 nucleotides in length. Their secondary structure includes four short double-helical elements and three loops (D, anti-codon, and T loops).
Source: Rfam by way of RNAcentral
GAGGGUAUAGCUCAGGGGUAGAGUGCGUGCUUGGCAUGCAUGAGAUCCUGGAUUCAAUCCCCCAGUCCCGCCA